RNAcentral lists this ribosomal RNA (305 nucleotides) under uncultured bacterium. RNAcentral's name for it is "bacterial SSU rRNA". It matches the Rfam family "Bacterial small subunit ribosomal RNA", at positions 337 to 656 of the family's 1533-position model. The record is from RNAcentral.
GCCUACGGGGCGCAGCCGUCGGGCCUCUUGCGCCCUGGCGGCCCCUCUGGCGCAGUGACGCCGCGUGCAGGAAGAAGGUUUUCGGAUUGUAAACUGCUUUAGACAGGGAAGAAAGAAAUGACGGUACCUGUAGAAUAAGCUCCGGCUAACUACGUGCCAGCAGCCGCGGUAAUACGUAGGGAGCAAGCGUUAUCCGGAUUUAUUGGGUGUAAAGGGUGCGUAGACGGGUAUACAAGUUAGUAGUGAAAUCCCUCGGCUUAACUGAGGAACUGCUACUAAAACUAUAUAUCUUGAGUACUGGAGGG